RNAcentral lists this ribosomal RNA (255 nucleotides) under uncultured bacterium. RNAcentral describes it as "partial 16S ribosomal RNA". It matches the Rfam family "Bacterial small subunit ribosomal RNA", at positions 524 to 776 of the family's 1533-position model. The record is from RNAcentral.
UACGUAGGGUGCAAGCGUUAAUCGGAAUUACUGGGCGUAAAGCGUGCGCAGGCGGUUUUGUAAGUCUGACGUGAAAUCCCCCGGGCUCAACCUGGGAAUUGCGUUGGAGACUGCAAGGCUAGAAUCUGGCAGAGGGGGGGUAGAAUUCCACGUGUAGCAGUGAAAUGCGUAGAUAUGUGGAGGAACACCGAUGGCGAAGGCAGCCCCCUGGGUCAAGAUUGACGCUCAUGCACGAAAGCGUGGGGAGCAAACAGG